CACUCAAAUGGUUUCAAACGCGUCUUUUUGAAACUGGUGUUCAGAGGUUACCAAAAGCACUUUAUGUAUGAAGUAAUUUUUUCAAAAAUCAUAUCCAACGCACUUUGCUGGUUUGCUUUCUUUGCCUAUAUUAACACCAUCUAGAAAGCCAUCGUCUUCAACUUGCUCCUGUCUAUGGUGUGUAAUAGAUGAGAGAAACGGAGAGUCCUAGCAAGUCUUUGGAGAUGGGAGAGUAUGCAAGAAGGAAAAAUUCAUGAUUUAAUAUUCCUUCUUGCCUACUCCUCCCAUUCCAUCUGCUUUCUGCGACUCCUCUAUUUCCUUAUUCUAGACAAAAGCGUGAUCUAAAAUUAAUCAAGGAGCAAGAGGGAAAGGAAAGAGGGUUGCUGGGAGUUACGGGUAUGGGAGGAUUGGACAGUACUGCUUGGUUUUAAUUAACCAAAGUCUGUUCUUUCCAACGCCUCCCAUACCGGUGAUCUCCAGCUGUUUCCUCCCUUUCCCUUGCUUGUCCUGCUUCAGAUCCUUCAGUUCGGUGACAAAAGCGAGUUGUUGGUUAUGGAGUAUCGUUGAAAAGAUUAGAGGAAGUUUUGAUCUGUUGGUAGAUCUGAGUAAAUCAUUUGUCAAUCCAGCUAGAUUUAAUAUUAGCAACUGAUAAAUCAUGUGUUUUGAAAUGACGACUGUGAUAUUCACAACAUAUCUGUUCGCGCCUCUUCGAUUCCGGGGAUGCUGUCUCAGUUAGUUCUGUGCUGCAGAGCUUAAUUAGGUUUGAUGUUCCUUGAUUUGUUCUUUGAAUUUGGAAUUUAUUUUGAGCAUCUGUCCACGGGUUUCGCCUAUUAUGGAUGACCCCAACAUGAUUCAUACGAUGGGUGGAUGAAAUCAUACCAUACGGGUGUGGUCAGCUUUGUUUCUGUGAGUAAGGUACAGAAGUUUGAAGCUUUAAUGCUAUAUGAUUCUAUGGCUUGAUGUGUUUUGUUCUGCUAACAAGGUGGAGGUCUUUUGAAAGACUUGCUAUUGAUGUGGAUGAUUCUGUCAAAUAUGAAGUUCUUCGAGAUUUAAAUAUUCAGACUCAGAGGAGUGACACACCACACCACCACCUAAAACUGUGAUCAUCGUAUCUAAACAACGGAUGUAUCAAGGAUCUGUUAUUUUUUGAGGAUCGUGUGAACUGAUUGACUUUCAAGAUUAAACUGUUUGAUUA
Molecule: long non-coding RNA, 1195 nt
Organism: Populus nigra (black poplar)
Lineage: Eukaryota; Viridiplantae; Streptophyta; Magnoliopsida; Malpighiales; Salicaceae
Exons: 2
Source: RefSeq, a predicted model, not a curated record